UAGGGAAUCUUCGGCAAUGGGGGCAACCCUGACCGAGCAACGCCGCGUGAGUGAAGAAGGUUUUCGGAUCGUAAAGCUCUGUUGUAAGUCAAGAACGAGUGUGAGAGUGGAAAGUUCACACUGUGACGGUAGCUUACCAGAAAGGGACGGCUAACUACGUGCCAGCAGCCGCGGUAAUACGUAGGUCCCGAGCGUUGUCCGGAUUUAUUGGGCGUAAAGCGAGCGCAGGCGGUUUGAUAAGUCUGAAGUUAAAGGCUGUGGCUCAACCAUAGUUCGCUUUGGAAACUGUCAAACUUGAGUGCAGAAGGGGAGAGUGGAAUUCCAUGUGUAGCGGUGAAAUGCGUAGAUAUAUGGAGGAACACCGGUGGCGAAAGCGGCUCUCUGGUCUGUAACUGACGCUGAGGCUCGAAAGCGUGGGGAGCGAACAGGAUUAGAUACCCUGGUAGUCCACGCCGUANACGAUGAGUGCUAGGUGUUGGAUCCUUUCCGGGAUUCAGUGCCGCAGCUAACGCAUUAAGCACUCCGCCUGGGGAGUACGACCGCAAGGUUG
This 550-nucleotide ribosomal RNA is filed under the name uncultured bacterium. RNAcentral's name for it is "bacterial SSU rRNA". It matches the Rfam family "Bacterial small subunit ribosomal RNA", at positions 355 to 896 of the family's 1533-position model. The record is from RNAcentral.